This 1325-nucleotide long non-coding RNA is filed under the name Sus scrofa (pig). RNAcentral describes it as "lncRNA (ENSSSCG00000063011.1)". The record is from RNAcentral. Lineage: Eukaryota; Metazoa; Chordata; Mammalia; Artiodactyla; Suidae.
ACUCUCCCGGCGGCGGCAGCUGCGCCGCCAAAGCCCCGGGCCCCAGCGGCCCCCCACCCCUCACUCGCGCGCUCCCACACUGCCUCCCCCCUCCCCGGGGGAAGGCCUUUUAAUUUAUUUAUUCUGCUGGGACUUAGGUGGGGGGCUUGGCUGGCGGGGGAGGGGGUCUCCCCGGGCUCUACCUCCCGCGGCUGGGGCUACCCUCCGAGCUGCGGCCGCCUCGGCUUGCGCCUCGGACCUCCAAAACUGUUUGCAAACUGACAAGACCCGAGGUCCGGGAGUGGCGGCGGCCAAUCAGCGUGCGGCUUCCAUUUUAGCAGUAAACAGUCCUCAGCGAAGCCGCCUUUUGCCAACCCAACCCUGGAAAGUUUGCAGAAGUGGAAGGAGCAGAAAAUGCCAUGAGAGUGUAACUUUAAAAAGGCUCACGACCGGAGAAGAGGUAUCCCCAACGUUGACCGUCUUUUUUCGGACAGCAGAAACAGGUCCAGUUUGACUCUGACAAUCUUCCCGCUAAGGAAUUCCUGGUGAAUAGAGGAAUGACACCGGUCCUCAGAACAUCUCGCAGGCUGGAGUGAAUGACACAGUUUGCUCAGAGUGGGUGACCCUUCUAAGUGAAAUCUCCCAAGGUUCCUCCAGGUGAGGCAGUCUUACUCUCCCAGCCACUCCCUGAGCUUCGGGGUCCCUGAUGCGGGGCAAGCCUGAGGCAGCCAAAGGGAAGAGGCUUGUGCCUGGCUCAAAGGUAAGUGCUUCCCCCGCUCCCUCCAAGCCCUCUUCCAUCCUCUCCCUCCCUAAGUGAUGCCCCCCCCCUCCGCUCCAGUGGUCCUGAGGAAUCUCACUUCUGACAUGUAUUUGGACCUGUUUCCCUCCUCUUUUGCUAGCUUCCAGCUGCCACUGUGCACCCCAGCCCUGUCCCAGCCUCACCAGCCAAUCACAGCUCCUCCCUGGUCAUGGGAAAAGCUUUGUCUGGGCUCCUCUCCUGUUAAGAGCCUCUGUCCAGCACCCCUCUUGAGCCUGGCAACCAGGCCUCCACGAUCUAACCCUGGUUACUAACUUGACAAUCAUGUCUGGCCUCCCUCACUCCCCAGCCACUGCCAAACCUGAUAUGAUGUCUAGCCACCAUACACUUACCCAGGCUGGGUACCCAUCCUACUUCUGCUGGCCUUUCCUGCCAGCACUGACAAGCUUGGUUCAUGUGCUGCCUGCCUCUCAACCUUCUCUGAACCCUAGAGGCUCUGGUGUCUAAAUUGUUCACAUCUCAGAACGCUUCCCCCAAGACUGAGUUCCUCAGAGGCAGGAACACAAUUCCCUCUCAAUAAACUUGUGCU